Molecule: ribosomal RNA, 403 nt
Filed under: uncultured bacterium
Lineage: Bacteria
Description: bacterial SSU rRNA
Rfam family: Bacterial small subunit ribosomal RNA
Source: RNAcentral
AUUGAACGCUGGCGGUAUGCUUAAGACAUGCAAGUCGAACGGAAUCUUCGGAUUCAGUGGCGGACGGGUGAGUAACACGUGGGAAUCUACUGAGUAGUGGGGGACAGCCCGGCGAAAGCCGGAUUAAUACCGCAUACGCCCUACGGGGGAAAGGCGCAAGCCGCUAUUUAAUGAGCCCGCGUAAGAUUAGCUAGUUGGUGAGGUAAAGGCCCACCAAGGCAACGAUCUUUAGCUGGUCUGAGAGGAUGGCCAGCCACAUCGGGACUGAGACACGGCCCGGACUCCUACGGGAGGCAGCAGUCGGGAAUAUUGGACAAUGGGCGCAAGCCUGAUCCAGCAAUACCGCGUGUGUGAAGAAGGCCUGCGGGUUGUAAAGCACUUUCAGUUGGGAAGAUAAUGACGU